GACGAACGCUGGCGGCGUGCUUAACACAUGCAAGUCGAGCGGUAAGGCCCUUUCGGGGUACGACGAGCGGCGAACGGGUAGGAGUAACACGUGGGUGGACCUCGCCCUCCAGCUCUGGGAGUAAAGCCGUCGGGAAACCGGGGUACCGUAAUAACCGGGACUAUGACUCCAUGACGCAUGUUGGUGGGGUGGAAAGCCUUGUGCGGCUGAGGAU
Molecule: ribosomal RNA, 214 nt
Filed under: uncultured bacterium
Lineage: Bacteria
Description: partial 16S ribosomal RNA
Source: RNAcentral